Molecule: long non-coding RNA, 620 nt
Filed under: Rosa chinensis
Lineage: Eukaryota; Viridiplantae; Streptophyta; Magnoliopsida; Rosales; Rosaceae
Description: sRNA RchiOBHm_Chr2g0121571
Source: RNAcentral
CUCACAUAAGCAACUUAGAAUCACAAUUAUAUGAAUCUAAAAAUUCUCAAUUAAUCAUAAAAUUCCAGAAAUUAAUAUUCAUUCAAACACAUAUGUCAACUAGAACAAAACCAACGAAAUCAAAGCAAAGGUUACAAAGGAGAAUCGGAUUACACCGUGAGAUGGAGAUGAGAUGAACGAAUUGAGGAUGUGGUCUCUUGAAUCUCGAAAGCAAGCUUCAAGGAUGGUGAUGGAGGAUGAUGCUCACGGCAAUUCUUCUUCUCCCUUGGCCUUGCUUGAAAUGUUGAAUGCACUAGAGGAUGGAGAGAAAAUGGAAAGGAAAUGGAGAGACAAAGAAGAUGGAAUGGAUGAAGGAAUUUGAAUGUGUUUUGAGAGUGAGAGGAGAAGUGUAUUUAUAGCCCAAAAAAUGAUGAAUGGAGGGUGGAGAUGAACAUAAAUGAAGGGCUAGAUAUGUUAGACAAAUUUGUAAAAAAUAUCUUCCCACAUGUUUAUCACUUGUUCAACUUGAAUUGAUUUUCCUCCUCAAGUUUUUCCACUUGGUUGCAACUUUGAUUUUCCUCCUCAAGAUUUUCCACUUCCUUGCAACUUUGAUUUUCCUCCUCAAGAUUUUCCACUUGGUU